GUGUCAGCAGCCGCGGUAAAACGUAGGUGGCGAGCGUUAUCCGGAUUUACUGGGCGUAAAGCGUGUGCAGGCGGACUGUCAAGUGGUGCAUGAAAUCGCUCGGCUUAACCGGGCGCGGGUGUGCCAGACUGAUGGUCUGGAGUGCGGGAGAGGGGCGUGGAAUUCCGGGUGUAGUGGUGAAAUGCGUAGAGAUCCGGAGGAACCCCAGAGGCGAAGGCGGCGCCCUGGCCCGACACUGACGCUCAGACACGACAGCAUGGGGAGCGAACGGGAUUAGAAACCCCGGUAGUCCAUGCCGUAAACGAUGCCGACUAGGCGCUGGGGGUCUCAACCCCCUCGGUGCCGCAGAUAACUCGAUAAGUCGGCCGCCUGGGGAGUACGGCCGCAAGGCUAAA
RNAcentral lists this ribosomal RNA (395 nucleotides) under uncultured bacterium. RNAcentral's name for it is "bacterial SSU rRNA". It matches the Rfam family "Bacterial small subunit ribosomal RNA", at positions 505 to 898 of the family's 1533-position model. The record is from RNAcentral.